Molecule: ribosomal RNA, 433 nt
Filed under: uncultured bacterium
Lineage: Bacteria
Description: partial 16S ribosomal RNA
Rfam family: Bacterial small subunit ribosomal RNA
Source: RNAcentral
AACGAACGCUGGCGGCAUGCCUAACACAUGCAAGUCGAGCGAGACCUUCGGGUCUAGUGGCGCACGGGUGCGUAACGCGUGGGAACCUGCCCUUAGGUUCGGAAUAACUCCCCGAAAGGGGUGCUAAUACCGGAUAAUGUCUUCGGACCAAAGAUUUAUCGCCUUUGGAUGGGUCCGCGUUGGAUUAGCUAGUUGGUAGGGUAAAAGCCUACCAAGGCGACGAUCCAUAGCUGGUCUGAGAGGAUGAUCAGCCACACUGGGACUGAGACACGGCCCAGACUCCUACGGGAGGCAGCAGUGGGGAAUAUUGGACAAUGGGCGAAAGCCUGAUCCAGCAAUGCCGCGUGAGUGAUGAAGGCCUUAGGGUUGUAAAGCUCUUUUACCCGGGAUGAUAAUGACAGUACCGGGAGAAUAAGCUCCGGCUAACUCCGUG